CCCCUAGAUGUUCUGGGCCGCACACGCGCUACACUGAACAGUUCAACAAGUCUUAACCUUGGCCGAUAGGUCUGGGUAAUCUUUGAACGCUGUUCGUGAUUGGGAUAGACCUUUGCAAUUAUGGGUCUUCAACGAGGAAUUCCUAGUAAACGCAAGUCAUCAGCUUGCAUUGAUUACGUCCCUGCCCUUUGUACACACCGCCCGUCGCACCUACCGAUUGAAUGGUCCGGUGAAAUCUCGGGACGGCGGCUUGGUCGCUUGCGUCCGACUGCUGAAACUUGAUUAAACCAUAUCAUUUAGAGGAAGGUGAANUCGUANCA
RNAcentral lists this ribosomal RNA (320 nucleotides) under uncultured eukaryote. RNAcentral's name for it is "partial 18S ribosomal RNA". It matches the Rfam family "Eukaryotic small subunit ribosomal RNA", at positions 1470 to 1796 of the family's 1831-position model. The record is from RNAcentral.